This 487-nucleotide ribosomal RNA is filed under the name uncultured bacterium. RNAcentral describes it as "bacterial SSU rRNA". It matches the Rfam family "Bacterial small subunit ribosomal RNA", at positions 28 to 536 of the family's 1533-position model. The record is from RNAcentral.
GAUGAACGCUGGCGGCGUGCCUAAUACAUGCAAGUCGAACGGGUGUAGCAAUACACUAGUGGCGAACGGGUGAGUAACACGUUGGUGACCUGCCCUAAAGAGGGGAAUACCACUUCGAAAGGAGUGACAAAACCGCAUAAGCUGAUGCUAGUUAGAGAAGCAUUAGUAAAAGAGAAAUCUACUUUAGGAGGGGCCUGCGGCCCAUCAGCUAGUUGGUGAGGUAAAAGCCCACCAAGGCGAAGACGGGUAGGGGACCUGAGAGGGUGAUCCCCCACAAUGGAACUGAAACACGGUCCAUACACCUGCGGGUGGCAGCAGUAGGGAAUAUUGCUUAAUGGGCGAAAGCCUGAAGCAGCAACGCCGCGUGAACGAAGAAGGCCUCGGUCGUAAGUUACUUUACGUUGGGUAGUGAGGAAGGACGAGUACCACGAGAAUAAAGUACUCGGCGUAACUAACGUGCCAGCAGCCGCGGUAAAACGUACUACUG